RNAcentral lists this ribosomal RNA (271 nucleotides) under uncultured prokaryote. RNAcentral describes it as "partial 16S ribosomal RNA". It matches the Rfam family "Bacterial small subunit ribosomal RNA", at positions 524 to 794 of the family's 1533-position model. The record is from RNAcentral.
UACGGAGGAUCCGAGCGUUAUCCGGAUUUAUUGGGUUUAAAGGGUGCGUAGGUGGAUUGGUAAGUCAGUGGUGAAAGUUUGCAGCUUAACUGUAAAAUUGCCGUUGAAACUGCCGGUCUUGAGUGCAAAUGAGGUAGGCGGAGUGCGUCGUGUAGCGGUGAAAUGCUUAGAUAUGACGCAGAACUCCGAUUGCGAAGGCAGCUUACUAAGCUACUACUGACGCUCAGGCACGAAGGCGUGGGGAUCAAACAGGAUUAGAUACCCCCGUAGU